GACGAACGCUGGCGGCGUGCCUAAUACAUGCAAGUCGAACGCAGUGGGGACGGGUGAGUAACACGUGGGUAACCUACCAUCAGAGGGGAUAACACUUGGAAACAGGUGCUAAACCGAUACUGAUGGAUGGAACCGGGGUGCAUUAGCUAGUUGGGGUGGUAACGGCUCACCAAGGCCACAAUGCAUAGCCGACCUGAGACGAUGAUCGUCCCUACUGGGAUUUAUACACGGCCCUGACUCAUACGGGAGGCAGCUGUAGGGAAUCUUGGGCAAGGUACAGAAGUCUGACCGAGCAACGCCGCGUGAGUGAAGAAGGUUUUCGGAUCGUAAAACUCUGUUGUCAGAGAAGCGGUAUCCAACCAGAAAGCCACGGCUAACUACGUGCCAGCAGCCGCGGUAAUAC
This 403-nucleotide ribosomal RNA is filed under the name uncultured bacterium. Its description in RNAcentral is "partial 16S ribosomal RNA". It matches the Rfam family "Bacterial small subunit ribosomal RNA", at positions 28 to 526 of the family's 1533-position model. The record is from RNAcentral.